This 247-nucleotide unclassified non-coding RNA is filed under the name Paraglomus occultum. RNAcentral's name for it is "partial contains 5.8S ribosomal RNA and internal transcribed spacer 2". The record is from RNAcentral. Lineage: Eukaryota; Fungi; Glomeromycota; Glomeromycetes; Paraglomerales; Paraglomeraceae.
GUGAAUCAUCAAAUCUUUGAACGCAAAUUGCGCUUUUUUCGGAAGGCAUGCGUGUUUGAGGGCACCAUUUAACAAAUAAUGUGCAUUUCGUGUGCACACGUUGAUGAGCUUUCCAAAAUUAUGUAUUAUUAUUUUUGGUGGCGCAUAAUAAACAGAGCGAUGAUUUUUUUUAGAUCGAGUGUAGUAAAAUUUUUUCUUGCUUGGGUUGUGAAAAGAGUGACAGCGAAAAUGGGUGUUGCGAGUCUAU